UACGGGGGGAGCAAGCGUUGUUCGGAUUUACUGGGCGUAAAGGGCGCGUAGGCGGCGUGACAAGUCACUUGUGAAAUCUCCGGGCUUAACUCGGAACGGUCAAGUGAUACUGUCGUGCUAGAGUACGGAAGGGGCAACUGGAAUUCUUGGUGUAGCGGUGAAAUGCGUAGAUAUCAAGAGGAACACCUGAGGUGAAGACGGGUUGCUGGGCUGACACUGACGCUGAGGCGCGAAAGCCAGGGGAGCAAACGGG
This 253-nucleotide ribosomal RNA is filed under the name uncultured bacterium. RNAcentral's name for it is "partial 16S ribosomal RNA". It matches the Rfam family "Bacterial small subunit ribosomal RNA", at positions 524 to 776 of the family's 1533-position model. The record is from RNAcentral.